CUUAGAGAGCUUGCUUUUUAAAGCUUAGUGGCGAACGGGUGAGUAACGCGUGAGUAACCUGCCCUAUAGUGGGGGACAACAGUUGGAAACGACUGCUAAUACCGCAUAAGCCCACGGUACCGCAUGGUACUGAGGGAAAAGGAUUUAUUCGCUUUAGGAUGGACUCGCGUCCAACUAGCUAGUUGGUGAGGUAACGGCCCACCAAGGCGACGAUUGGUAGCCGGACUGAGAGGUUGAACGGCCACAUUGGGACUGAGACACGGCCCAGACUCCUACGGGAGGCAGCAGUGGGGGAUAUUGCACAAUGGGGGAAACCCUGAUGCAGCGACGCCGCGUGGAGGAAGAAGGUUUUCGGAUUGUAAACUCCUGUCGUUAGGGACGAUAAUGACGGUACCUAACAAGAAAGCACCGGCUAACUACGUGCCAGCAGCCGCGGUAAAACGUAGGGUGCAAGCGUUGUCCGGAAUUACUGGGUGUAAAGGGAGCGCAGGCGGGAAGACAAGUUGGAAGUGAAAACCAUGGGCUCAACCCAUGAAUUGCUUUCAAAACUGUUUUUCUUGAGUAGUGC
RNAcentral lists this ribosomal RNA (568 nucleotides) under uncultured Lachnospiraceae bacterium. RNAcentral's name for it is "bacterial SSU rRNA". It matches the Rfam family "Bacterial small subunit ribosomal RNA", at positions 70 to 652 of the family's 1533-position model. Lineage: Bacteria; Bacillati; Bacillota; Clostridia; Lachnospirales; Lachnospiraceae. The record is from RNAcentral.